GCAUGCUUGUCUAAGGUUGCAUGUUUUGUUACGGCUAUGCUCUACCACCACAUCAUGACCCUAGCAUGUAUGCUGCAGCUUCGGCUGCAUAUGGAGCUUAUCCGGUGUAUGGCACCCACCAACAACAAGUAAGCUGAGACAGCAGCUCCUGUGCACGGUAGCAACCUACCAACAGCGAGGGAACCGAGUAAGCUGCAUAAGUAGUUUAGAAAUCAGACUCAAUGGAUCUAUAAUUUGCUCGGUUCUCUAGAAUUCUUAUAAAUCCCUCUAAUUCUGGAGUGGAACUGAAUUUUGAUAACUUGAGGUAGUUAUGCAAGGAUUUCAUUGAUCAUUUCUUUAGAUUUACGUAAUUUUUAGGGAAACUAUUAUUCGAUCAGUACAGGGCCUCCGUGAAUUGAAAAUGUGCGAGAUAAUCUUUAGCAUGCUAGUGCAAAGUUGCACUUGUGUUAUGUUCUACACCGGGCUGCA
Molecule: small RNA, 468 nt
Filed under: Malus domestica (apple)
Lineage: Eukaryota; Viridiplantae; Streptophyta; Magnoliopsida; Rosales; Rosaceae
Description: sRNA MD08G0090700
Source: RNAcentral